UCCUUUUUCAAAUUUCUAAACCGGUCCCUCCCAUCACCACAAACAUUGCAAAACUGCGUACUCCAGCUUUCCUGAUAACACAUCUAAUGAGAUACUGGAUAUGGUUAUAAUUCAAUGCAUAACUAGUUCAUUUCUCUCAUUAGUCUUCCUGUAACGACUUCAGACAAAACUAUUGAUUUCCAAUUUUCAUAGAUAAACAAAGAUCAUGAAACACAAUACAGAAUUUAAUUUGUCCCAUCAAUUUUAUUCAGUGGCAUUGGUCAUAGGAUUUUAUUUGAGUCUGGUUUUCAUUUGUUUUUGGGGCUGUGCCAAUUUUAUAGAAACUGUUCAUUAGCUUUGUUUUGGAUUUUGUUAUGUAUACAUUAGAAACAUCUCUUUUUUUCCUCUAUGCUGACCA
This is a long non-coding RNA of Amblyraja radiata (thorny skate), 397 nucleotides long. RefSeq lists it as uncharacterized. Lineage: Eukaryota; Metazoa; Chordata; Chondrichthyes; Rajiformes; Rajidae. The record is from RefSeq and is a predicted model, not a curated record. The transcript has 3 exons.